This 426-nucleotide ribosomal RNA is filed under the name Oxybelis aeneus. Its description in RNAcentral is "partial 12S ribosomal RNA". It matches the Rfam family "Microsporidia small subunit ribosomal RNA", at positions 762 to 1290 of the family's 1311-position model. Lineage: Eukaryota; Metazoa; Chordata; Lepidosauria; Squamata; Colubridae. The record is from RNAcentral.
AGUAAAGACUUAAAAUUUAAAAGACUUGACGGUACCUCACAACACCCUAGAGGAGCCUGUCUAAUAACCGAUACCCCACGAUCAACCCAACCCCCACUUGCCCAACAGUCUAUAUACCGCCGUCGCCAGCCUACCUUGUGAAAGAAACAAAGUAAGCAAAAUAGCCACACGCUAAAACGACAGGUCGAGGUGUAACUUAUGUGGGGGACAAAGAUGGGCUACAUUUUCUAACACAGAAAAUACGAAUAAACUAUGAAAAAGAAACUGAAGGUGGAUUUAGCAGUAUACAAAGAACAUAAUACUUAAUAGAAACUAAUGCAAUGAGGUGCGUACACACCGCCCGUCAUCCCUGUCAACUUACCACAAACAUCCAUAAAAAUACUACCAACCACAAACAGGGCAAGUCGUAACAAGGUAAGUGGUACA